GACGUGUUCAAGUAUGACAUCACAGCUGGGAGGCCUAAACUAGCAGCAUUCUUGGAGGUACAUUAACAAGUCAUAGAAUUGUAUAAUGAAUGUCAUGGAUUCCAUUGUCUGAGCUUUAUCCCAUGUACGGAUGACUGUCUCUCAUCUGUUUAAAAACAAACUUAAACGUUUCAUGAGGCUAAGCUAGCUGUUCAAGUGGUUUCCGAGCAAGAAUUCUAAGCAAAAGCACUCCGUUAACCACUAUCUUAAAAUCGGAUUCGAUAGAGGACGUGCUCCUCUGUAAUAUCUCAUAAAGAUGGUGAUUAUUAUGGUUGUUAUAUAUAUCCUUGUGCAGGAAAUCAACAAGAUUGAGGCAUACAAGGUAACCAAAGCUGAUCCAAAGGAGAUUGUUGCAGCGUACAAGAAGAAAUUCCUGGUACAUUCUCUUUUGCUGACCUACAAUUCGAAAUUUGUGCUCAGUCGUUCUUUCUAUAUUCAUUAUGCUGGUUUGAUAACCUCUGCGUAAUACUUUUCGUUACAGGAGCAACAGUAAACCUGCGAAAUAUUCUGCUGCGGACGCCGUAUAAAUAAGUGGCUGAGCACAUCAACAGAUUGUUCGUCAGCCUAAUUACGUAUGCAGAUUAUGUAGUCUUGUUAUAGAUACGGACUUGUGUGUAUUUGGAUAUUUGUCUUUGUUACAUGAAUAAAAUUCGGGUCCUCGGAUUCUGUUCGGUGUUCGGGUCCAGCCUCUCGUAAUCUAUCAACAAUUUCUUCAGAAGAGGGAAGUUUCUUUGCAAAGCAAAGUACGAUAAUUACCAAACAAUAUAGUCCAAACCACAUUGGCCAAAUGUUUUUCUAUAUAUAUUUUAUAAGUCGAAGUUCUCUAUCUUUUCUUACACUACUCUUCAAAUAAAACAAGGCAAAAUGCUUCUAAUAUCAUAUCACGUCGUAAUGAAAAAUACAUAUACUAAUCUGAGAUAGAAGAGAUCAACAAAUUCCAUGUUUCAACAAAAAAAUGGGGGAAAACUAACCAAAAGCCCCAAAAAAAGUUUCCUUUUAAUCAUCAGGACAAAAGUUUUCAAAAAUACCAAUGCUACCCUUCAAAUAUCUAUACAAAAUUGGCCAAGUAUUCAGUAAAGUUCACGUGGUAUUCACCAAAGAAUACAUCCAAAGAAGAAAAAGGAGGAUUGACACUUUCAGAAAACAUUUGAAUGCAAAAGUUAAGGUGGCCAUUGCAGCAGCCAAGACAACAUGAAUUCACAUGACCUUCAUUAAAGCAAAGACAAGUCAGCCAGCUUUCAGAAAUAAUGCUGACAACUUUCGUGCUGUCACUAUUCAAAAAGUUGUAAAUAGAUGAAAAUUUAUUUUGUUGUUUAGGAAUUAGGUUUUGUAUAUAAGGGAGCUUUUCCUCUCAUGCAGAAUACACGAAAUAACACACAACACGCCUCAACAUCUCAACACCUCAACACCAUACUCACAUCAUACUUCAACCUACAAACACUCAAGCAUCCGAAACCUUCCUAGCAUCCUUUGUAAACAUUCUAUACAUCAAUAAAAGUUCAAGUGUACAAAUUCAAGCAAUCUUCAAUUCUUAAGUAAGCUUUCUUUUCUGUCUUUAGUGUGUUUGUUCAAUUAGACUUCUAGUCCAAAAUAGGGAAACACUAUUUUCAUUAUAUUAUUAACCUGUUAACCCGACGAUCAUACUUUGUUCGAGCACUCUGUUAUAGUUGAAUGCUUGCCAUACAAAUAACUGGACAUUAAUCAGGGUACUUCUGAGUGAGUAUUUAUAGUAUAGAGAGUAUUAAUAUGAUAGAUUUUGAUUCUGAAGAUUCAAGUAGUUCAAAUGGUGAUUUAGAAGAGUAUAUAUGUUCAUUCAUAGAAGAACAACAUGAAGAAGAAUAUAAAUACAUUAAUUUAGGUUGGCCAGAAAAUGUCAUAAGUGUAGCAAGUUAGUUGCAAAUAAAUACUAUAAUACAUAUUCAAUAUUAUGUGAAAAGUGUUAUAGUAAUAGGUUAUUAGAAGUUAAUUCAGCAGAAUCACAAGAAAGUACUGAAAUAUUAGGAAAUACUGUUCAUAGUAUAGAAAGGCCAAAAAAAUAGUUAUUUAAUUACCAUAAAUUGUGAAAUAGAAUUAGCAAAAUAACAUAAGAUACAAACAACAGCUAUGAUAGAUACAGAGAAUACAAAGAGUGUCAUAAGAGAAGAAUUAGCACCAGAAAAAUAUGGACAAAAAUUAGCAAAACCAGUAAGAAUAACAUAGUUUGAUGAGAGACCGGUUUACUUAACAGAUUGCAUUAAUAAUGAAUCUAUUAAAGUAGAAAAACAACAAUUUAAUUUACCAUUAACAUUUGUUUCAUCAGUAGGAUCAUACGCAUUCAUUUUAGGUUUAAAUUGCUUGAAAAGCUUGCAAGGUUUUUUUUAUUUAUGAACCUUAACAUAACAUUUUUCAAAAGAGGUAUUACAAUAGCUGAUCAAAGUAAUACUGUAGAAGCAUACAAAAGCAUAAGUGUAGAAGAAUUUAGUAGUCAAGAUAGUUAUUAUUUGGAAAACUCAAAAGAAAAUGAUGAGCAUAAUAACAUAGAAGAGUUUGAGGAAGAAUUAUUUGAACAUGAAUAUCCGAUUUUAGAAGAAAGAACCCAUAUAAAAAUAUUACAAUUAGAUAAAUUAAAGAGUUUAGAAGAAUUAUUACAAUUACCAGAACAAACUAGGAUCAUAGGAGAAGACCCACAUUUACAUUGGAGUAAAAAUAAAAUAAUAGCAAAAUUAGAUAAAAGAGCUUAUUGACCUCAUAGAUAGUAAGCCUAAGCAAGUAGAACUCAGAUCAUUAGAAAUAGUUGAGCAAUUAAGAUUAGAAGUUCAAAAAAAUUCAAUUAUUGCAAAAUGAGUUGAGUGAACAAGUAGAUAAGUUGCAUAAUAAAAUAGAUAAAUUAUUAGUUUAAUGACCGAUUCUAGAACUAGCAGAAAAUAUAUCCAAGCUUUGAAAGAAAUUAGUAAGCUAGAUAAAGAACCAGUAGGUUUAACAGAUUUUUCAACACAAGUAGCUAGUAGUAAUAUUCCCAUUAGGCAAACUAAUUUAAUUAUUCAAUUACUUUUAAGUUUGGCUAAAAAAUUAGAUCAAGUUGAAGAACAAAUACCAUAAAUAAAUCAAGUUUUACAUAACACAUCUCCAUCACUUCCACCAUUUUUGUUAGAAAAAUUAGAAAAUUUAACUUUAAGUACAAAUAAUCAUAUUAGAAGACCUAAGAUAAAUCAUUUUGAUAACAGAAAAUGGAACUCUUUAAGAGAGAAAAGAAGUAGUUAGAGUUGAAGAUAUUUAUCCAAAUGAAGAAGAAGCACAAGAAUUUAUUAGAAGAUGAUUUGAGAAAACACAGAAAAAUAAAUAUAAUUUGUACCAAUUAGGUUUAUUUGAAAAUAGAAGUAGGAUUGUAAGUAGCAUCAGUCAAGAUGAAGUUAGAUGUAUUGAUAAAGAAGUUAUACUUAAUUUACUUAGUAAGGAAGCAAUUAUGCAUUUGAGAAAAUCAAUCAGGUACAAUACAAUUACAAGAUUAUAUAGCUAAAAAUGUCUUAGAAUUUCCAGGUAAGUUAGAAGACAAAAAACAGUUACAAGCAUUUUUAGGAUUGUUGAAUUAUGCAAGAAAUUUUAUCCCUGAUUUAGAAAGAAAAAUAGCAGUAUUACAUAAUAAAACUAGCAAAAUAGGACAAAAAUAUUUUAAUAGUGAAGAUAUUAAAUUAGUUCAAAUAUAAAAGAAGAAAUUACUAAACUUAAGCCAUUAACAUUACCAUUAGAUGAUAGUUCUAAAGUAGUCGAAACAGAUGCUUCAUCAUUAGGAUGAGCAUGUAUACUAUACCAGAAAAAGAAUAAGGAGUCACCAAAGUCUAACGAACAAGUUUGUAGAUAUUCAUCAGGAAAAUUUAGUGAUGUACAACCAAGAUUACCAUUAAUAGAUUUAGAAAUUUUAGAAAUAAUUAACUCACUUGAAGCAUUCUCUUUAUUUUUACAUAAUGAAGUAUUUACGAUUAGAACAGAUUGUCAAAAUAUAGUUUCUCAUUAUAACAUACCAGAUUCGCAUGACAAGCUCGAUUAAAUAGUCGGAUGACCAUUAUAACAACUAGACAUAAAACCUUGCACAUGGAACUCGACAUGUUUUAGCAUGACGGCCACUCACAGUACAAGUAUAAACUCUUAACGGCUGAACUCAGAGGUACCUUAGUUAAUAUCCAUUUAUUUGUAUGGCAAGCAUUCAACUAUAACAGAAUGCUCGAACAAAGUAUGAUUGUCACACCCGAUCCCGACAUACAUCCAUGAUCGACACGUGACAGAAGAUUGUAGGGGGAUGCCAGGAAAUACAAACUGGAAUACUGAACUGAAUAUAUAUUUAAGAAAAGGUAUAUGGAUUAGUAACCAAAUGUAGUGAUAGGAUGAUCACAUUUAAGUGUUCUCUUCACUUUGUUCUAAAUUUAAAUUCUAAAGGAGCUACCUAACUUAGGUAGUUUUACCGGACAUCCUUCACAAAAACACAAGAUUUUAUUAUAUUUUAAUUGUAUACAAAUCGACUCCAUGCCAUUUUAUUUAAUGUGAGAGGUGUUGUAAUUAGAUAGUCCUAUGCUCCACCCUAGUUUUUAGACUCUUCCAAACUUGUUGGUGGCCAUACAUUACCGACUCACUAGUGACCAGCAGAAUGAUUAGUUCACACUAUUAAAAUUCGGAUAAAUUCGUCAUCCUUAAUUCUCCUCUCUAAUCAUCCGACCAACACCAAAACCCAGAUCAGGCGAGAUACUCAAAAUCCAACUGAGAAAUCAAGUCCACGACACUUAUCAUGCACAACCAUAAGUCGCGCAUGAUCAGCAUAUAUCGUAUCCUUUAUAUGUAGAUAUUAUUUCGUCACUGCUGCCGACUCCACCGCCACCUCACAGUCCUCUAUAAAACGGCCACCCACUUUGUACGGACACAUUCUGCGCCAAAUUCUGAUUGCCAAAAAAAACACAAAAAAUCUCUGCAGAGAACCAAAAAAUGGCGUACAAGUACGAUUUCUCAUUUUCGUGGUCUUUCUUUUUUCUGGGUCCAUCUGAAUUUCUGAUUUUUUUUCUUGUUGUAAAAUUAAUCCAAGAUUGUUUUGUUUCUUGGUGUUGCAGGCAUGAGGAACUUCCUCCACCGUUGGAUUCCACUUCCUCCCCCCCCCCUCUCUUUGACGGCACUACAAGGUUUACCUCUUUCCUCCACUUUUUUGGUCUGAAAUGGUUGGUUACAAAUCCCAUUGCUCAACUGAUACGUUCAAAUACUCACGAUAUAUACUGAAAAAUGAUUAUUUCAGCGUUUGAAAUUUGUAAUGUGAUCAUUUCAGCCAAUUUUCCCAAGAUAAAACACAUUUUUGAGGCUGUUUUCGCCUUCUGUCUCGUCCGAAUUUCAGUUUUGGCCACCUUGUUUUUUAUUUAUCUCAUUUUGCUCACUAUUUUUGUUCACUGAGUUUCGUUUUGUUCAGUGAUUACCAUGUUUUGAUGUGUAUUGGUUGCUUUGUGUUUUGAAGGCUGUACGUAAAUUACACAAGUCCAUUUGCACAGCGGGUUUGGAUCACUAGGAACUACAAGGUUUGUUCUCUUUUUUCACCAUAUUUUUCGUUUUUGGAGCUUCUGGCAAAGGCCCUGAGAUCAUUCAAUUUGUUGUUUGAGGAAUUGGCUAAUAUGAUGAAAUACAAAUCCCUAUAGCGGAAAUGAUUAUUUUUCAUUAUAUUUGAUGGAUAUGUCGUGGUUAUUUGAUUUAAAUCAUUUCAUGAAUUGGUAAAUUGAGAAUUAAUCAGAACCCAUGUCUUAGUGUUUGUUUUUGUCGAAAUUUUUUGAGUUGCAGGGUUUGCAAGGCAAGAUUAAGUUAGUGGGUAUAGAUCUUGAAAACAGGCCUGCUUGGUACAAGGAAAAAGUCUACCCCGGAAACAAGGUAAAAUAUUGAGCAAAAAUUAGUGUUCUCUUCUUCUUUGCUGCCAUUGAUUAUCUGUGGAAAAUUUGGUGAAACUGGAUAAAUCUCUUGAUUGAUUAUUUUUAUAGGUGCCAUCUCUGGAGCACAAUGGAAAAGUCAUUGGAGAAAGUCUUGAUCUGAUCAAAUACCUCGAAAGCAACUUCGAAGGGCCUUCACUUGUCCCCAAUGUAAGAUAUCCAGAAUUUGAUUGUGCCUCAAGUAACAUGACUUUGUCUUCUCAGAAAUUUGACCAGAGUGAUGCUGCGAAAUUGUUUUUAGGACGACCCUGGGAGAAAAAAGUUUGGCGAAGAAUUAUUAACUUAUGUUGUUACCUUCGUGGGGUCCUUGUAUCGCUCAUUGAAAGGAGACACGGUAAAAGCAGCUGGUAAGACUUGGAAGAUUCUCCCGUUAGUGACUUUUUGUUGAUGAAUAUACGCUGAAGAAAUUUGGUUAACUGCAUCAGAUGAGCAGUUUGAUUACUUGGAAAAUGCUCUUAAGAAAUUUGACGAUGGACCAUAUCUUCUGGGUCAGUUCAGUUUGGUAAGUUGAAUGUACAAUGUAUCUACAUGCCAAUUAAUGUUUUCGCAUUUCUAAUAAAAUGAGCUAGUAGUAACACAUAAGUGCUUAAGUAAUGGAUACAAAUUUGUGAUAUCCAGGUGGACAUAGCCUAUAUCCCGUUCGUUGAGCAGUUCCAAGUCUUCUUAUCAGACGUGUUCAAGUAUGACAUCACAGCUGGGAGGCCUAAACUAGCAGCAUUCUUGGAGGUACAUUAACAAGUCAUAGAAUUGUAUAAUGAAUGUCAUGGAUUCCAUUGUCUGAGCUUUAUCCCAUGUACGUGUUGGAUAAUGGCCAAAUUAGUGGCCAAGUGGCCAAAAACAUAUAAUAAAAAAUGAGGGAACAUCAUUUUGAGAAGACCAAUGAUGAUGUUUGUUGAAAAGAAAAAGAAAUGUCAUGAUGAUGUUUGUAAAGGAAUGAUUAUUCCUUUACUUUGGAUUUUUUUAUUGGAUGCUUUUGUAUGGAUAAAUGUUGCAUCCGAAUGUGGGAGAUGAGGGGGGAGCGGCAGAUGAGAGAAACCAGGGAGAGCAUUCGGCUCUCCCAUUUGAAUAUGAGCUGCUCCUUCCCACCAUUUGUAAUAAUCCCAUUUUGUUAGUAAUCACUCAAUCAAAGAUAUUUGUGCUACAUGUUGUGGCUUUUGGGAGAGAAGGAAUUUGGUAUAUGUUUCCAUUUUCUCCAUUUGUUCUUUGUUUUAGUGAGAGCUAUUGGGUGUAUGUGGGAUUUGGGUUUGAGAGUUAAACUCUAUUUGUAAUCUCCUUGUGAUAUUAGUGGAAUUUCCUUGCCGUCUCGGAACUGGAUGUAGGCUUACGCCGAACCAGUAUAAAUCCUUGUGUCUUUUGGAUUAUUUGUUUUGUCAUAUUUUGCCGUUGUAGUUUAUUAGUUUCAUAUUUGAUGCUUCCGCACAACAAGUGGUAUCAGAGCCCCGGGUUUCGACUUAGAGGCUUUGUACUAAUAUGUCUAUGAAACCUUCGAAUAUGACAGUGAAAUAUGUUUUUUUGAAAAAAUAUGACAGGAGGAAUGACUUUGGCAUUUGGUCAAUUGGAGAUGCAGAGUUUGGCUGCAAAAUGCGUGGCGUUGAAGAAGGAUAGUAAGGGACUAUGCUGCAGUCACUGAGCUCGCAGAUUGGAGAAUGGUUUCUGAAACAGCGUGUCUGCUGCAAUGUUGUUGUCGAUGUUGUUGAAGUGUUGGUGUUCGACGGCUGCAGUUGUAGUGUACUGCUUUUGGUGGAUUUUCCGUUGGUCAUCGUUGCACCGGAGGUGUUUGUGGGCUGUUGUCGACGAGUUGAGUGGAAAGGAGAAAAAGUAGAAGCAGUUGAAAAUUGAAAAGAAAAUGUUGGUUCUUUUUCUUUCGGCAUUUGUUUUGGCAGAAGGACAUCAAGAUGACAAAUGAUGUUGUUGGCUGAAAGAAAAGGGAAAAAGGCUAAGGCUAAGUUUUCUUCUCUUUGGCAUUUUUUCAACGGUAGAGAAGUUUUUCUUCACUCCCACUAGUUGCCUUUGGAGCAAGUUGAUGGAAACUUUGGAGGAGUUUGUGAGGGCCAAUUUGUUGAGUUCUGCAAAGGUUUGGAUAGUGAGACAUCACACUAUUUUGGAUACACCACAUGCACUGCAGAACAUUUGUGUGGAACCCUCUUGUAGAAGGCAAGUUAUAUGCUUUCUAACUUUGUUUGGUUUAUGGACAUUUGGUUGGAUUUGUUUGCCACUGCUAUUUGGUUUGUUGGUCUCCAUCAUCUGCAAUUAGUUUUCUUGAAGACUCCAGUUGAGGUAUGGUUUUGGAUCUCCUACUGAUUAUUUGAAUUUGAAAUUUUUGGUUGUCAUGUUGGUGCUCAUGUGAUGAUGGUAAACUUGAGUGAAGGGCAUAAUAUUGAUAUUCAUAGGAUCUGAAUUUGGGUGAAAGGUUUUGUAUGUGGUAUGUUAGACCUUGUUGCCAAAUUUGUAAUCAGUUUUGACUUGGAGAAUAUGCCAUGCUAUGUGAAUGAGUCUAUUGGUGCAGUUUUAGACCAUGGUGUUUGUGAGCAGGUGGAGUUCGUUGUAUGUCCAACUUUGGUAUGGUGUGCUUGAUCUUUUGUCGGUGAUAUUGAAGAAUUUCAGUUCUUCGUUUGAAUCACUUUUGUUUUGAUCAAGGCACUUAUGGUUUGCAAAUUUGGAGAAGACGGUAAAGAAAUGAUCUACUUUUGUUGGCGUUGGUACAAUUUGAGUCGAGGUGGAGAUCAUUAGAGUACCGAAAGUUUGGGGAAUUUGAUUUAGUUCCUGUUGUCUUUAGUUUGUACUUUGGGUGCUUAUAGUGAUUGUUGAUUCGAUUCUCUGUGAUGUUUUCGGAAUUUGGCCAAGGUGGAGAUUGUUGGAUAAUGGCCAAAUUAGUGGCCAAGUGGCCAAAAACAUAUAAUAAAAAAUGAGGGAACAUCAUUUUGAGAAGACCAAUGAUGAUGUUUGUUGAAAAGAAAAAGAAAUGUCAUGAUGAUGUUUGUAAAGGAAUGAUUAUUCCUUUACUUUGGAUUUUUUUAUUGGAUGCUUUUGUAUGGAUAAAUGUUGCAUCCGAAUGUGGGAGAUGAGGGGGGAGCGGCAGAUGAGAGAAACCAGGGAGAGCAUUCGGCUCUCCCAUUUGAAUAUGAGCUGCUCCUUCCCACCAUUUGUAAUAAUCCCAUUUUGUUAGUAAUCACUCAAUCAAAGAUAUUUGUGCUACAUGUUGUGGCUUUUGGGAGAGAAGGAAUUUGGUAUAUGUUUCCAUUUUCUCCAUUUGUUCUUUGUUUUAGUGAGAGCUAUUGGGUGUAUGUGGGAUUUGGGUUUGAGAGUUAAAACUCUAUUGUAAUCUCCUUGUGAUAUUAGUGGAAUUUCCUUGCCGUCUCGGAACUGGAUGUAGGCUUACGCCGAACCAGUAUAAAUCCUUGUGUCUUUUGGAUUAUUUGUUUUGUCAUAUUUUGCCGUUGUAGUUUAUUAGUUUCAUAUUUGACGCUUCCGCACAACAGUACGGAUGACUGUCUCUCAUCUGUUUAAAAACAAACUUAAACGUUUCAUGAGACUAAGCUAGCUGUUCAAGUGGUUUCCGAGCAAGAACUCUAAGCAAAAGCACUCCGUUAACCACUAUCUUAAAAUCGGAUUCGAUAGAGGACGUGCUGCUCUGUAAUAUAUCUCAUAAAGAUGGUGAUUAUUAUGGUUGUUAUAUGUCCUUGUGCAGG
RNAcentral lists this long non-coding RNA (9652 nucleotides) under Malus domestica (apple). RNAcentral's name for it is "long non-coding RNA (MDOM_LNC003954)". The record is from RNAcentral. Lineage: Eukaryota; Viridiplantae; Streptophyta; Magnoliopsida; Rosales; Rosaceae.